Molecule: non-coding RNA, 46 nt
Organism: Alligator mississippiensis (American alligator)
Lineage: Eukaryota; Metazoa; Chordata; Crocodylia; Alligatoridae
Source: Rfam
CAACUGGCUUUUUUCAAAGCCAGUAUAUUCCAGACAAAGAAGUUUU